This is a non-coding RNA of Podarcis lilfordi (Lilford's wall lizard), 81 nucleotides long. NCBI's taxonomy places the organism in Eukaryota, Metazoa, Chordata, Lepidosauria, Squamata, Lacertidae. The record is from the annotation of a GenBank genome assembly.
CCUGAGAUGGGCCUUAGCCCAGUGGUAGGGCAUCCAUUUCACAUGCAGAAGGUCACAGGUUCAAUUCUUGGCUUCUCUGGA